Long non-coding RNA from Grus americana (Whooping crane), 3236 nucleotides. RefSeq lists it as uncharacterized. Lineage: Eukaryota; Metazoa; Chordata; Aves; Gruiformes; Gruidae. The transcript is spliced from 2 exons. The record is from RefSeq and is a predicted model, not a curated record.
CAGGAAGCUUGAAACAUGGCAGAGCUCUUUCUGAAAUUAUUCCAGGUAUUAAAAAAUCGGGUCAGGAAAGGCUCUUUGCUGAAACAGUUUGUACCAAGUGAGCGCAUUUGUUCUUCCAUCUCCUCCUUUUUGAAAGUUCCGCCAGCACUUCUUUCAUGCUGAGCCAGUGGCUGCCCUCCAUUGGGAUCACCAGCAGUUUCCCGGCAGCGGCAGGACUCAGGCAGCACAAGAAGAGGAGCAGCACUGCCACCAGCAUGUUGCGAGUUGGACAGACAGGAACCCACGCACCAGAGAGGCCGGGGUGGUUCGCAAGCUUUUGUAGCUGUGCUCCACUUAUGCAAACACACCCCUUGGCAAUGCUUUGUCAUGAUACCUGUGCCCUUUUGACUUGCUUGGCAUUUCAGUUGUUCACAAGUUUGCACGCAAUGGAGUCAUGGAAGGUGAUUAAUGAUUAUAAAAGGUUGAGAUGAGGUUUGUACUUCAAAAGCAGGUUUGCACUAAUGCUAACACGAGAAAAGUGUGUCUCCUAUGACACACCUUGCUUGCCCAAGCUGAGACUACAGCUCAAUGUCUCAGCCUUCUCCCCAUAGUAGGACCACAUGACACUUCUUACCGUAAACCUCCUUUACAGACAUUUACUGACAAUAUGCUCUAAGGUACAUGGGAAUCCAUGAAAGAAAUGCAUCCACAGAGUGGAUGGACAGAAACACUGCUGGGAUUACCCCACAUGGUAGUACUGGGUCUAUGAAGAACACACCAAAAUUACUCUUUUCCAUCUAGUGCUGGAGUUCUCUGUGCCACUGAAGGCUGUCAGACUUGCCAUAGAGUGUAGUAACAUGGUAUUUUUUAUAAAUACCUUUUUUUUUCUAAUGAAGCUGAGGCAAGUUGUACAGUGAAACAUAACCUGUAGUAAAGAUAACGAUGAAGACAGGCUGAGAGAGUUGGGGUUGUUCAGCCUGGAGAAGAGAAGGCUCCAGGGAGACCUUAGAGCCCCUUCCAGUCCCUGAAGGGGCUCCAGGAAAGCUGGAGAGGGACUGGUAUACGAGGGCAGGGAGUGACAGGACAAGGGGGAAUGGCCUGAAGCUGCAGGAAGGGAGACUGAGAGUUGAGGAAGAAAUUCUUCUCUAUGAGGGUGGUGAGGCCCUGGCGCAGGUUGCCCAGAGAAGCUGUGGCUGCCCCUGGCUCCCUGGAAGUGUUCAAGGCCAGGUUGGAUGGGGCUUUGGGCAACCUGGGCUAGUGGAGGGUGUCCCCGCCCAUGGCAGGGGGUUGGAACAAGAUGGGCUUUAAGGUCCCUUCCAACCCAAACCAUUCUGUGAUUCUAUAAAUAUGAGAAAUCAAUGUUAAAGUACCAGGGGUUUGUUGUUUCCCUUUUUUUUUUUUUAAUAACCAAAACCAAUUGGUACAACUGAGAAAAAUGAAUUCUUUUUUCAUUGAUGCAAAUACGUGUUUUUUUGAAGAUAAGUAGCCAACAGAAAAUCCUUCACCAUCUCUACAUGUAACUUCCAUCUAACCUUUUAUCCUACUGGGCGUAAAACUAAGUUGCAAAACAGCAGUUCACCAUUGUACCUCAGAUAACGUAAACCAACAACACGUUUCCAAUUCAUGAACUCACGAGUUCCUGGCCCAUGUCACUUUAGUUCAUAACUGAAACAGUUCAUGAACUCUGUGGGUCCAGAUCCUUCUCUGUUGUAAACUCUUGGGGUUUUAAAUGUUGGUGAUAGCCUCUCACCAUAAAAGAUUGUAAGUAGGUGGCUGGGCAGGUGCCUUUGAGAUAGUAUUUGCUCCUCCUGGGCAUGCAGGGCUGUAUAUCACUGGUGGAGAUUUCUUUCACGUGCAGUUUCUGCAUGCUUAUUGUCAAGCCUGGUGGGAAAACUUUGACCUUAUUGAGAACCUGCCCUCAAAAAACAGCAGCCGGCUCCACCACCUGCACUGGCCCCAUAUCAGUAGUUUACAACAUGGCAACUUUCACAGAGCUCAGGAGAAGGGGAUGCACAGAAACAGAUCAGUUGCUCAGAACCUUGGAAAAGGCUGUCAAAUGAACACUAGAAGAAGACGCUUUCAAGCUAGAGUGACAGAUGAAGACAGACAGUCAUGCACGUCUCGAAUAUCUGAUCAGAAAUCUUUCCCGAUCCUGACUCCAUGUCCUUUUGAAAGACCCCUUGUAAGCAACUGCUGCUCCUUUUCCUUCAUUCAAACAUAUAUAACCAGCUAGAGUGAACUGAGUGGCACUAGAGACUGUUCUGGUAAGAGGAUUUGCUCUGCCACUUCCAACACAAACACUAACCAUACUUAUCUGGACAAAAGGGCAGGAUAUUAGGGGUUUCUUCUACACUACUCUGUUUCAGGGGUACUCAGAAUUUGUGAUACUUGAAUAUACUUUUCCCGCUUUCGAUCUGCUAUAGAAUAUGCUGUAUUUGAUUCAGAGACCUGGUUGGUACCCAAAAACCUAAAUGGGAUUUUACAGAAGACAUCCAUGCCCAGAAGAGCUUAAAACCUAAUUAAAUAACCUCUGAAAGAAGGUUGCAUACUAGGAAAUGACAUUUCUGCAUCAUGCAGGAUUUCUCAUUAGCUAUCUUUAAAUACCAAGGUGUUGUCAGUUAGGAUGCUUUAAACAUUUAUGUUCUUUUCAAUAAAAACAAAACAAAAUUUUAUACCUGAGACAGUUUUUUCUUCUGAUCACAGUUUAUCCCUCCAAUAAAAAACAUGUUUGGCAUCACUGGUCUCGGGAACUCAAACACAAAAUCGUAUCUCAUUAGCCAAACAGAUCCAUGGCUUAGGAGGUCUGUAGCUGUCACUUUCUUUUGCAAAAAAUCGUAUGCAAGUUCUUCAAAUUGGGCGAAUAUAGGCUUACAGUAAAUGAACUCCAGCAUACGAACCAGCAUGUUCUUCACGCGUUGAGUAAACGUCAUGCUAUCUGAAUUAUUUAGGAAGAGUCUGGGGACAUAGGAAGGAGGGUUUGGACACUGGGUAGCUUCAGAAUCCAUGCCACAAGGAAAUCCUCGCAAAAAGUAGACAGAAGGAAUUGAAAGAUACUCAGCAAUUAUCGGUCCGCACAUCAGAAUUGGAUCCGUGAAAACCACAUCAAAUUUGCUCUCUCUCAAAUACUGUAUCAUGUCUUUGUUGUGCAAAAGGCUCUUACAGUUGCUGAAAAAGUACUUGGAAAUUUCUAAUGUGCUUCUAUACAUUGUAAUAAUAAUAUUCAAAACAGAUUGUUCAAUAAAAUGAGCAUUAACAAA